Non-coding RNA from Picea glauca (white spruce), 890 nucleotides. NCBI's taxonomy places the organism in Eukaryota, Viridiplantae, Streptophyta, Pinopsida, Pinales, Pinaceae. The record is from Rfam.
CUCAUGGAGAGUUUGAUCCUAGCUCAGGAUGAAUGCUAGAGGCAUGCUUAACACAUGCAAGUCAGAUGGGAAGUGGUGUUUCUAGUGGCGGACGGGUGAGUAACGCGUAAGAACCUACCCUUGGGAGGGGAACAACAGCUGGAAAUGGCUACUAAUACCCCAUAGGCUGAGGAGAAAAAGGAGGAAUCCGCCCAAGGAGGGGCUUGCAUCUGAUUAGUUAGUUGGUGAGGUAAUGACUUACCAAGGCGACGAUCAAACUCAAAGGAAUUGACGGGGGCCCGCACAAGCGGUGGAGCAUGUGGUUCAAUUCGAUGCAAAGCGAAGAACCUUACCAGGGCUUGACAUGUCGUGAAUCCUCCCGAAAGAGAGGAGUACCUUUGGGAGAACGGACACAGGUGGUGCAUGGUUGUCAUCAGCUCAUGCCGUAAGGUGUUGGGUUAAGUCCCGCAAUGAGUGCAACCCUCAUGUUUAGUUGCCAGCAUUGAGUUUGGAACCCUGAACAGACUGCCGGUGAUAAGCCGGAGGAAGGUGAGGAUGACGUCAAGUCAUCAUGCCUCUUACGCCCUAGGUGACACACGUGCUACAAUUACUGGGACAAAGGGUCACAACCAUGUGAGGGCAAGCUAACCUCAAAAAAUUGGCCUCAGUUCAGAUUGCAAGCUGCAACUCGCCUGCAUGAAGCCGGAAUCGCUAGUAAUCGUCGGUCAACCAUACGGCGGUGAAUCCGUUCCCAGACCUUGUACACACCGCCCGUCACACUAUGGGAGCUGGCCAUGCCCCAAGUCAUUACCUUAACCACAAGGAGGAGGAUGUCGAAGGAUGGGCUAGUGACUGGAGUGAAUUCGUAACAAGGUAGCCGUACUGGAAGGUGCGGCUGGAUCACCUCCUUU